CCUGAGGAGGCCCCACCGAAAUGGCAGUUUACUCAAGAUAGAUUUGAUCGAAUGGAGCAUCGCAUGCAUAAAGCGGAUGGAAGAUUUACAUAGUAACUUUCGGACUUACACGAUAUAAUUUUUAUGAGUUAGUUAGGCGUGCAAGUUUAGUUCCUGACAUUUGGAUCUGCCCACAUUUAUCCUCCUUCCGAUACACCUUUUGAUCAUGAGGAGGCGGGGGACGACGAUGUUGUAACUUAGGGGAGUAUCUCUUUUCCUCUUAUACUUACUGUGUACAAUGAGGACAUUGUCAUUAAUAAG
Molecule: long non-coding RNA, 300 nt
Filed under: Panax ginseng (ginseng)
Lineage: Eukaryota; Viridiplantae; Streptophyta; Magnoliopsida; Apiales; Araliaceae
Description: long non-coding RNA (PGIN_LNC009071)
Source: RNAcentral